GACAGGACAAGGAGCUUUUUGCCCUUAACACUCCUGACUUUGCUGCUGUGAUGCAGUGUGGUGAUUAGAGGAGAGCUUUUCAAGUGUCCCUCUGAGAGUCUGAGCACAGUCUGGCCCCUUGCACCUGUGGGGUUUCAGUACUCACUCACCAAAGGAAAAGCUUGGUUCCAGCUCUGACUGCGCUGUCCCCAGGGAAGGAAGGGUCCUGGUGACCUGGCAGGGGACAUGGAGCUGCUGGCUGUCACAGCCGCAGAGGAAGCAGGGAAGGAUGCAACAGCAUCACAACCCAAGGUGGAAGGAGCAGAAGAAGCAGCUGCAAUGCCAGAGGCAGAAAGCUUAGAAGGGAAGGUUAUCACUGCUGAAGGAGCAGCAGCAACUGUGGUGGGAGCGUCAGAAAACCCAGCAGCAGAAAGAGUGGCUAAAGCGUUUGCCAGGGCAGCAGAAAGAAUUGCAGGAGCAGAAGUAGCCAAGGUGCUGCAGUCAGCAAUAGCUGAGCUCAAAGGAAAGAGGAAGGAUGUGUGGAUAAAGCCAAGGAACGCCACUCAGCAGGAAGAGGAUUGGAUGAAAGAGGGAGAGGUGAAAUGAAAUGGAGAGGUGAUGUUCUGGGUCAUACCUCCUAAUGGCUUGUACCAUCACUCCUGGAAUGCAAUAGGGCUGCCAAUCACAUCUCUUUUGUGACUCAUUAUACUGUUAAAAAUAAAUAUAUGGCAUAUUCUGCA
Molecule: long non-coding RNA, 719 nt
Filed under: Junco hyemalis (dark-eyed junco)
Lineage: Eukaryota; Metazoa; Chordata; Aves; Passeriformes; Passerellidae
Description: lncRNA (ENSJHYG00000000979.1)
Source: RNAcentral